GGAUGUGGGGGUGAUCUGCCUGAGACAACCGUCACUCACUGACCUCUUGGCAAUGAGUCACUGAUCUGGCCGGCUGGAGGGGUAGCUGCCUUGGUCUUCACAGCUCCAUGUGCAUCCACCUUGAGCUAUUCAUUCAAUUAAGGGGGAUCUGAGUUCUUCAGCCGAGAAAAUGGGACUCUUACUUCUUUG
Molecule: small nuclear RNA, 189 nt
Filed under: Pteropus alecto (black flying fox)
Lineage: Eukaryota; Metazoa; Chordata; Mammalia; Chiroptera; Pteropodidae
Description: 7SK RNA
Rfam family: 7SK RNA
About the family: 7SK was discovered as an abundant small nuclear RNA in the mid-70s but a possible function has only recently been suggested. Two independent studies have found that 7SK RNA binds the CDK9/cyclin T complex (known as elongation factor P-TEFb).
Source: Rfam by way of RNAcentral